This 445-nucleotide ribosomal RNA is filed under the name uncultured bacterium. RNAcentral describes it as "partial 16S ribosomal RNA". It matches the Rfam family "Bacterial small subunit ribosomal RNA", at positions 354 to 796 of the family's 1533-position model. The record is from RNAcentral.
GUAGGGAAUAUUGGACAAUGGGCGCAAGCCUGAUCCAGCCAUGCCGCGUGCAGGAAGACGCAUCUAUGGUGUGUAAACUGCUUUUGUACGGGAAGAAACACUCCCUCGUGAGGGAGCUUGACGGUACCGUAAGAAUAAGGAUCGGCUAACUCCGUGCCAGCAGCCGCGGUAAUACGGAGGAUCCAAGCGUUAUCCGGAAUCAUUGGGUUUAAAGGGUCCGUAGGCGGUUUAAUAAGUCAGUGGUGAAAGCCCAUCGCUCAACGAUGGAACGGCCAUUGAUACUGUUAGACUUGAAUUACAAGGAAGUAACUAGAAUAUGUAGUGUAGCGGUGAAAUGCUUAGAUAUUACAUGGAAUACCAAUUGCGAAGGCAGGUUACUACUUGUGGAUUGACGCUGAUGGACGAAAGCGUGGGGAGCGAACAGGAUUAGAAACCCGAGUAGUCC